GCCGAGGUGGCGGAACAGGCAGACGCAAGGGACUUAAAAUCCCUCGAUGGAAACAUCAUACGGGUUCGAUUCCCGUCCCCAGCACCA
RNAcentral lists this transfer RNA (87 nucleotides) under Clostridia bacterium. Its description in RNAcentral is "tRNA-Leu". It matches the Rfam family "tRNA". Rfam says of the family: Transfer RNA (tRNA) molecules are approximately 80 nucleotides in length. Their secondary structure includes four short double-helical elements and three loops (D, anti-codon, and T loops). Lineage: Bacteria; Bacillati; Bacillota; Clostridia. The record is from RNAcentral.